AUUGAACGCUGGCGGCAUGCCUAACACAUGCAAGUCGAACGGAAACGAUGGGAGCUUGCUCCCAGGCGUCGAGUGGCGGACGGGUGAGUAAUGCUUAGGAAUCUACCCAGUAGUGGGGGACAACCAGAAGAAAUUCUGGCUAAUACCGCAUACGCACUACGGUGGAAAGUGGGGGACCUUCGGGCCUCACGCUAUUGGAUGAGCCUAAGUCGGAUUAGCUUGUUGGUAGGGUAAUGGCCUACCAAGGCGACGAUCCGUAGCUGGUCUGAGAGGACGAUCAGCCACACUGGGACUGAGACACGGCCCAGACUCCUACGGGAGGCAGCAGUGGGGAAUAUUGGACAAUGGGCGCAAGCCUGAUCCAGCAAUGCCGCGUGUGUGAAGAAGGCCUGCGGGUUGUAAAGCACUUUCAGUAGAGAAGAAAAGCCUAGGGUUAAUAACCCUGAGUCUUGACGUAACCUACAGAAGAAGCACCGGCUAACUCCGUG
Molecule: ribosomal RNA, 488 nt
Filed under: uncultured Gammaproteobacteria bacterium
Lineage: Bacteria; Pseudomonadati; Pseudomonadota; Gammaproteobacteria
Description: bacterial SSU rRNA
Rfam family: Bacterial small subunit ribosomal RNA
Source: RNAcentral